GCGCUCGCUUCGGCAGCACAUACACCGACAUUGGAACGAUGCAGGGAAGAUGAGCAUGGCAUCUGCACAAGAAUGACACACAGAUUCAUGAAGCGUUCCAUAUUUUC
Small nuclear RNA from Phyllostomus discolor (pale spear-nosed bat), 107 nucleotides. NCBI's taxonomy places the organism in Eukaryota, Metazoa, Chordata, Mammalia, Chiroptera, Phyllostomidae. The record is from RefSeq and is a predicted model, not a curated record.